UUUUGCCCUUUUAUAGUAAUAUAUUUAUUUUUUUCUUUAUAUCAUGUUAUUUGUCAUUUAAAUGUCUUUAAGAAUCAAUUGACAGACUUUGACCGGGCAUUUUAUAUUUUUGUGAAUUUUAAUUCAAAGUUGAAAAUUUCACUUCAACAUUUGUGUACAAGGGUGACUUCCGGUCAACUUUUUGCCCUUUUAUAGUAAUAUAUUUAUGUUUUUGUUUAUAUCAUAUUAUGUGUCAUUUAAAUGUCUUCAAGAAUCAAUUUACAGCUUUACCGGGUUAUAUGCUUUUUCGUGAAUUUAAGUUUUAAUGUUCAAAAAUGUGUUGCCAGAGUAUUCAGAUGUACUCCAUCGGAAAUAAAUUUAUCUUUGCAUGAAUAUUUAUGUGUCGUGUCAUGAUCCCGAAAGAUAAAUUUCGAUGAUUUUUCAACCUCGUUUUUUAUCAUUUUAUUUAUUUAUUGUGCUUUUCCGAAAUACAUAUUCUUGUAUGCCCCAUCUCUGACACUUGUAUUUUCUCGGUUGUAUCCAUCUUUCUUAAAUCUGAAAUUAAAAUAUUUUAUGAAAAUUGAAUGUCACCAAAUUUCUGUGUGUUCUUCCUUUGGCAGCUAUUUGGAAAAGAGGCUGGAUAUUAAAUCAUGUGCUUGAAGUAGCGCCCCCUUAUCAAUUGCAAAAUUCCAAAGAGAUUCAAGUUAGAUAAUCACAUAUGUACCAUCCGUAACUAUUUUCUACAUAUUUCUAAAAUUUACAAAACAUGAUAACACAAGACUGAAUACAAUUAAAAUUUAGUCUUUCAUUGUACCAUAAAGUCACCUAUGCUGCACAUAAGUGUAUAUAUAUAUGAAAUACAUAUCUAUUUUAUUUAUAUAUUUAUGAUCAUUUAUUUUAAGAACUUAAACUGUUCUUAUUUUGUUUAUGUUUUUCUCACUUGUUUGUAAUGCCUUUUUAAUUUGAAUAUCAUCUAAACAAAUAUCGUAUGUUCCAUUAUAUCAAUAAUUAUAAUUAAUAUUUAAAGAAAAAUAUUCAAAAACUAACAAGGGUCGUUUCUAUAUAUGCAUGUAUACGAAAGUGUAUUAGGGACGAAGUAAAAAUACGAAAUUUUGACAUUUCAAAUCUUAAAAUCUGUAGUAAUCAUUUUUUUGUCACUAAUUGUGACAAUUUCCUGGUUUAUUUCACAUUUUAUUCCCGAUCCGAUGACAUUAAAUUAUAAAACCGCAGGCGGGUACGAGUUGUUGGACACAGUGGCGAUCAGCAGUCAUUGUUAAUUGAUGUAACACAAUAAAAUUUAUACAUUCAACACAUUCAUGUAAAACUAUAAAAGUUUCAUAAGGAAACAUAUUUCUUAUUUUCUAUAUAAGUUUUCAAGAAUUAAGGUAUAAACUUCCAGUAUUGUAGUUCUUGGCUUAAAUGUUUAAAAAUUAAAACAUAAUACAGAAAACAUGUGAUCGACUCUGACUUUAAAAAUAAUUGAAAUAUUUGUACUGUUGCACAUUCACGGCCGACACUCGGCUAACCGAGAGAUUGGUCGGUUAAUCUAUAUUGAGUAUGCGGCUAUAUGGGCGAUACGCCUGUUAAGAG
This 1569-nucleotide long non-coding RNA is filed under the name Mytilus galloprovincialis (Mediterranean mussel). The record is from RNAcentral. Lineage: Eukaryota; Metazoa; Mollusca; Bivalvia; Mytilida; Mytilidae.